GGAGAGAUGGCCGAGCGGCUUAAGGCGCACGCUUGGAAAGCGUGUGUACGUUAAUAGCGUACCCAGGGUUCGAAUCCCUGUCUCUCCG
Molecule: transfer RNA, 88 nt
Filed under: Acidocella aminolytica 101 = DSM 11237
Lineage: Bacteria; Pseudomonadati; Pseudomonadota; Alphaproteobacteria; Acetobacterales; Acidocellaceae
Also listed under: 1 other name
Rfam family: tRNA
About the family: Transfer RNA (tRNA) molecules are approximately 80 nucleotides in length. Their secondary structure includes four short double-helical elements and three loops (D, anti-codon, and T loops).
Source: Rfam by way of RNAcentral